GGGCUUGUGGUCUAGUGGUAUGAUUUUCGCUUCGCAUCUUGUAGGCUCCUGAAGCUUCUAGCACAGGAGUCAGUAAUACAUCAUGAACAAGUGAAAGGUCCGGGGUUCGAUCCCCCGUAAGUCCA
Molecule: non-coding RNA, 125 nt
Organism: Mariannaea sp. PMI_226
Lineage: Eukaryota; Fungi; Ascomycota; Sordariomycetes; Hypocreales; Nectriaceae
Source: the annotation of a GenBank genome assembly